RNAcentral lists this ribosomal RNA (253 nucleotides) under uncultured bacterium. RNAcentral's name for it is "partial 16S ribosomal RNA". It matches the Rfam family "Bacterial small subunit ribosomal RNA", at positions 524 to 776 of the family's 1533-position model. The record is from RNAcentral.
UACGUAGGGGGCAAGCGUUGUCCGGAAUCAUUGGGCGUAAAGAGCGUGUAGGCGGCCAGAUAAGUCCGCUGUGAAAUCUCGAGGCUCAACUUCGAGCUGUCGGUGGAAACUGUCUGGCUAGAGUCCGGAAGAGGAGAAUGGAAUUCCUGGUGUAGCGGUGAAAUGCGCAGAUAUCAGGAAGAACACCCGUGGCGAAAGCAGCUCUCUGGGACGGUACUGACGCUGAGACGCGAAAGCGUGGGGAGCGAACAGG